Long non-coding RNA from Quercus robur (English oak), 1494 nucleotides. RefSeq lists it as uncharacterized. Lineage: Eukaryota; Viridiplantae; Streptophyta; Magnoliopsida; Fagales; Fagaceae. The transcript has 3 exons. The record is from RefSeq and is a predicted model, not a curated record.
CUCUGCCUUGUCUUUUCUUUGUAUUGUAAAAUUAAUCUAUUUUCGUGUGCUAUUUGAUUAAGCUGAAAUUUCUUGAAAUCAGAUAGCUAAAGGUAGAGAUAAGCUGCUAAAUUACAUGCUCUUUAUGACGAUUACUCCAUCAUUGCCCAACCUUUUCAUUAAUCUUUGAUUGGUCUAAUUCCAGCACCCUAUGUCAUGUUCAGAAUGGUUCCAAGGGGAGUCACUUAUCAAAGAAAAAAAAAAAAACCAAAAACAAAAAAGAGGGGGCCCUUAGAGGAGAAACUUGCUGGAAAUGAAGGUGUAUGGCUCUAUUUGUUUCUCUCUAUUUUUCCCCUAAGACUCCCUGCUCUUCUCAGACCCUCUCUACAUUUGAACUCAUUCUUAUUUUCUAUCUGUUUUGUCCCCCCACCCCAGCUGUUUGUGCUUAGAAUCUUUACAUCUUUUUCGGUAAGGUUUCACUUUGAUUUUUCUUUUAUUUUAUUUUCUUUUUCAGUUUUAUUAAGUGUUUGAUUGAGGAUAGAUUUUAAUGCACUCUAGGGAAUUAAACUUUGGUGACAGACCUUUUUUUAACAAUGCACUCUCUAGGGAAUUAAACUAUGUUGAGGUUAACUUCUGGAUUCUCCAAAUAUGGAAUUCCUCUUUGGACUGUUCUUGAGACCCUUGAUAUUGAUGUGCCUAGUACUGGUGACAUGGAGUGGGUUGGGCUAAAUUCCUUCAUCACAAAUUAAAUCAAAAUUGACAUUACAAAACCUCUAGGGCCUGUUUGGUAUUAUUGUUUAAACAACAAUUUUGGUUGUUUAAACAACAGUACAUGUAUUUCCAUAGCACUUUUUCACCCACGCGUAGUUCCAUAAUACUUAAACAAUAUUACUAGAAAUCUCUUAUCAAACGGGCCCUAAUUAUUAGAGCACUAGCAUCAGGUAGGGUUGAGCAGGGACCUGACCCACCCGACCUGACCCGAUGGGUUUUGGGCGGGUUUGAGAAUAUUCGGGUCAGAUUUCAAGUUUGAAGAUUUGAUUAUUUUCGGUUUCAGGUCGGGUUCAGGUUCAUAUAAAUAUACCUCUUUUGGACCCGAAAUUUUUUUAGAAAAAAACCCUAAGCUCUCUCUCGGUCUCUCCGCCUCUCUCAGCUUUCUCAGCUCUCCAGCCUCGAAUCACCAUCACAAUUUGGCGGUGCUCUUCUGCCUCUCUCACCGAGUUCUCUCAAAUGGUUUCAGCAAUUUGGUUUCAGCAAGAUCUUUAACAGAUUGGAUUCUAAGUAAUUUUGUUGAUGUUGCUGAUCCUGACAACACGAAGAUCUCAAGUAGUGAGCAUUCUAAUUUGCUGAGCAAACCCUCUCUUAGUGAUAUCCCAUUGCUAGUGCCAGGGAACCAGGAAUUCUAUCUAAACAGGCUUUGAUCAAUGUAAACUAACAAAUUCCCAGUUAUGGUGAGUGUUAAGAUGAUUUAAGUACCAUCUAUUUUUCAUUUAAGGAAUAUGAACUCAGGUUGUUUUA